UAGAGAUUAGUCUAAAGAAAGACCCUGAACCUUGAACUCUGUACUGUAAGUCCAAAUCCUACAUCUCUAG
Molecule: transfer RNA, 70 nt
Filed under: Iphiteon panicea
Lineage: Eukaryota; Metazoa; Porifera; Hexactinellida; Hexactinosida; Dactylocalycidae
Description: tRNA-Gln
Rfam family: tRNA
About the family: Transfer RNA (tRNA) molecules are approximately 80 nucleotides in length. Their secondary structure includes four short double-helical elements and three loops (D, anti-codon, and T loops).
Source: RNAcentral